UUUUAUAGGAUUGAAGUGAUCCGUUGAUCUUAGGAGUCAAAAAAUUGGUGCAACUCCAAAUAA
RNAcentral lists this transfer RNA (63 nucleotides) under Crocuta crocuta (spotted hyena). RNAcentral describes it as "partial tRNA-Leu". Lineage: Eukaryota; Metazoa; Chordata; Mammalia; Carnivora; Hyaenidae. The record is from RNAcentral.